AAAAUGGGGGUGUGUCAGCUGCCUUCCUAGUAUGGGUGUGUUUAACCGGGCCGCGCGGUGAGACUGGCGCCCAAUGAAUCCUGAACUGACCAACGGUGAUACUCCAGACGGAGAACAUGAGUUCAAGCCCAAAUGAUGACCCAAGACCCCGGACACCGCCAUUGGCCCCGGCACUCCUGCCGGGCACUGCGCCCACACUCAUUAUCUGCUGCAGCAGCGAACUGCCCCACUCACUGUACCUGUUUUUGAGAAGAUGAGCUGCAGAAUGAGAGGCCGCCGGGUGACGAUUCCUGAACCUCGGGGAAGGAAGUCCCUGUGGGAGGGGAAAAGGACAGAAAUUACUCAGCGGCUGGCUCGCGGGCAGGAAGUGUGACCACACGUGUGAAGCAAUCCCGCCUUGCGACUGGGGCAACCUCAGCAAAGAUACCAAGAUCCCAGCCAGAUCUUGGAGGAGGGUCCUGAGGCCACCGGGGGCAGAAGAGGGACUGGAAUGAAGGUUGGUGGUGAAUGGAACCGUUUCCCUCUGGCUGGCCGUGCUCCAGCCCCAGCAUGCCCCCAGAGCCCUUUCGCUGACAGAUAUUUGAACAAUAUCUCCUGCACCCCAAAGAAAUGAGUUCAUUUCCUACAUACAUGUUUUAAAUUAAUUUAAUGCCUUAUGUAUGAUACGAAGACUAAAUAAAAGGAAAGUAGUUGAUGACAAAAUACAUGUUUCGUGUCCCAAAAAGACAAAUCGAUGCAGGCAGGAAGUGAGUGGAUCAAUGGCUGCCCAAGGGGUGGGACAUGAGGAGGGAGCUUUCUGGAAAUGUCCUAAAACCUGACUGUGGUGAUGCUAAUAUUUACUGUAAGUGUACUAAAAACCACUGCAUUUGAAAUGGGUAAAUUUUCCUAGUAUAUAAACAAUCCCUCAAUAAAGCUGUUAAAUAAAGAAACAUACCCUGUGUAUUUCACCAUGGAAAUACUCAGGCACCAGCUGGACUGACUUACACCACUACAUGUGGAUUCAUGCAAAGCAGGACGACCAGAAGGCACUCUGGACCAUUAAGAAAGGACAGCCGAAGAGCCAGGGUCCAGUGAGCGAGGAGGUAGAAGAGGGAUUUUCGGAGAUUAAAGCCGUGCAAAGGA
Molecule: long non-coding RNA, 1122 nt
Organism: Neofelis nebulosa (Clouded leopard)
Lineage: Eukaryota; Metazoa; Chordata; Mammalia; Carnivora; Felidae
Exons: 2
Source: RefSeq, a predicted model, not a curated record